AGUGAACGCUGGCGGCAUGCCUAACACAUGCAAGUCGAACGGCAGCACAGUAAGAGCUUGCUCCUACGGGUGGCGAGUGGCGGACGGGUGAGGAAUACAUCGGAUACCACUUUUUCGUGGGGGAUAACGGAGGGAAACUUAUGCUAACACCGCAUACGUCCUACGGGUGAAAGCAGAGGUUCUUCGGACUUUGCGCGAUUGAAUGAGCCGAUGUCGGAUUAGCUAGUUGGCGGGGUAAAGGCCCACCAAGGCGACGAUACGUAGCUGGUCUGAGAGGAUGAUCAGCCACACUGGAACUGAGACACGGUCCAGACUCCUACGGGAGGCAGCAGUGGGGAAUAUUGGGCAAUGGGCGCAAGCCUGAUCGAGCCAUACCGCGUGAGUGAAGAAGGCCUUCGGGUUGUAAAGCCCUUUUGUUGGGAAAGAAAAGCAGCAGGUUAAUACCCCGCUAUUCUGACGGUACCCAAAGAAUAAGCACCGGCUAACUUCGUG
Molecule: ribosomal RNA, 492 nt
Filed under: uncultured bacterium
Lineage: Bacteria
Description: partial 16S ribosomal RNA
Rfam family: Bacterial small subunit ribosomal RNA
Source: RNAcentral